RNAcentral lists this ribosomal RNA (434 nucleotides) under uncultured Blautia sp. RNAcentral describes it as "partial 16S ribosomal RNA". It matches the Rfam family "Bacterial small subunit ribosomal RNA", at positions 341 to 792 of the family's 1533-position model. Lineage: Bacteria; Bacillati; Bacillota; Clostridia; Lachnospirales; Lachnospiraceae. The record is from RNAcentral.
ACGGAAGGCAGCAGUGGGGAAUAUUGCACAAUGGGGGAAACCCUGAUGCAGCGACGCCGCGUGAAGGAAGAAGUAUCUCGGUAUGUAAACUUCUAUCAGCAGGGAAGAUAAUGACGGUACCUGACUAAGAAGCCCCGGCUAACUACGUGCCAGCAGCCGCGGUAAUACGUAGGGGGCAAGCGUUAUCCGGAUUUACUGGGUGCAAAGGGAGCGUAGACGGACUGGCAAGUCUGAUGUGAAAGGCAUGGGCUCAACCUGUGGACUGCAUUGGAAACUGUCAGUCUUGAGUGCCGGAGGGGUAAGCGGAAUUCCUAGUGUAGCGGUGAAAUGCGUAGAUAUUAGGAGGAACACCAGUGGCGAAGGCGGUUAGCUGGACAAUAACUGACGCUGAGGCGCGAAAGCGUGGGUAGCAAACAGGAUUAGAUACCCUGGUA